Molecule: ribosomal RNA, 483 nt
Filed under: uncultured anaerobic ammonium-oxidizing bacterium
Lineage: Bacteria
Description: bacterial SSU rRNA
Rfam family: Bacterial small subunit ribosomal RNA
Source: RNAcentral
UUUUCGCAAUGCCCGAAAGGGUGACGAAGCGACGCCGCGUGGGUGAAGAAGGCCUUCGGGUUGUAAAACCCUGUCAGGAGUUAUGAAAUGUAGGUGCGCUAAUAUCGUGCUUAUUUGACAAAGGCUCCAAAGGAAGCCACGGCUAACUCUGUGCCAGCAGCCGCGGUAAUACAGAGGUGGCGAGCGUUGUUCGGAAUUAUUGGGCGUAAAGAGCACGUAGGUGGGUUUGCAAGUCAGAUGUGAAAGCCUUCUGUUCAACGGGAGAAUUGCAUCUGAAACUGCUAAUCUUGAGUAUAGGAGGGGAGAAUGGAACUUCUGGUGGAGCGGUGAAAUGCGUAGAUAUCAGAAGGAACGCCGGCGGCGAAAGCGAUUCUCUGGCCUAUUACUGACACUCAGUGUGCGAAAGCUAGGGGAGCAAACGGGAUUAGAUACCCCGGUAGUCCUAGCCGUAAACGAUGGGCACUAAGUAGAGGGGUUUUAAUC